UAUCGUAUGCGCGCGUCUGGUGCCGUGCCUGGGUUCGCUUGCACGGUUAAACGGGAAACAGGGAAGCGCCUCAUUUGCACGGCACGCGUCGUGCGGCGAACGAAGCGCUCAGCCUGUGCUGUCCCCGCAACGGUCACGCGGCGAGUGGAAGAGCAACUUCCGCGCAGUGCGUUCAAGGCCACUGCCUGCAUCAUGCGGGUGGGAAGGCGAGCGCGAUGAGCCGCCAGCCCGGAUACCGGCCAGAUGCAAGGGGGCGAC
Molecule: non-coding RNA, 258 nt
Filed under: Paraburkholderia phymatum
Lineage: Bacteria; Pseudomonadati; Pseudomonadota; Betaproteobacteria; Burkholderiales; Burkholderiaceae
Also listed under: 1 other name
Source: RNAcentral